UCAUGGGCGCAGGCCUGAACCAGCCAAGUAGCGUGAAGGAUGACUGCCCUACNGGUUGUAAACUUCUUUUAUAAAGGAAUAAAGUCGGGUAUGGAUACCCGUUUGCAUGUACUUUAUGAAUAAGGAUCGGCUAACUCCGUGCCAGCAGCCGCGGUAAUACGGAGGAUCCGAGCGUUAUCCGGAUUUAUUGGGUUUAAAGGGAGCGUAGAUGGAUGUUUAAGUCAGUUGUGAAAGUUUGCGGCUCAACCGUAAAAUUGCAGUUGAUACUGGAUAUCUUGAGUGCAGUUGAGGCAGGCGGAAUUCGUGGUGUAGCGGUGAAAUGCUUAGAUAUCACGAAGAACUCCGAUUGCGAAGGCAGCCUGCUAAGCUGCAACUGACAUUGAGGCUCGAAAGUGUGGGUAUCAAACAGGAUUAGAUACCCUGGUAGUCCAAGGGCGAAUUC
Molecule: ribosomal RNA, 442 nt
Filed under: uncultured bacterium
Lineage: Bacteria
Description: SSU rRNA
Rfam family: Bacterial small subunit ribosomal RNA
Source: RNAcentral